AGAACGAACGCUGGCGGCAUGCCUAACACAUGCAAGUCGAACGAGACCUUCGGGUCUAGUGGCGCACGGGUGCGUAACGCGUGGGAAUCUGCCCUUAGGUACGGAAUAACAGUGAGAAAUUACUGCUAAUACCGUAUGAUGUCUUCGGACCAAAGAUUUAUCGCCUAGGGAUGAGCCCGCGUUGGAUUAGCUAGUUGGUGGGGUAAAGGCCUACCAAGGCGACGAUCCAUAGCUGGUCUGAGAGGAUGAUCAGCCACACUGGGACUGAGACACGGCCCAGACUCCUACGGGAGGCAGCAGUGGGGAAUAUUGGACAAUGGGCGAAAGCCUGAUCCAGCAAUGCCGCGUGAGUGAAGAAGGCCCUUCGGGUUGUAAAGCUUCUUUUACCCGGGAAGAUAAUGACUGUACCGGGAGAAUAAGCCCCGGCUAACUCCGUGCCAGCAGCCGC
This 448-nucleotide ribosomal RNA is filed under the name uncultured bacterium. RNAcentral's name for it is "SSU rRNA". It matches the Rfam family "Bacterial small subunit ribosomal RNA", at positions 26 to 518 of the family's 1533-position model. The record is from RNAcentral.